This 111-nucleotide ribosomal RNA is filed under the name Caerostris darwini. Lineage: Eukaryota; Metazoa; Arthropoda; Arachnida; Araneae; Araneidae. The record is from RNAcentral.
ACGGCCGUACCAUGCUGAAUAUACCGGUUCUCGUUAGAUCACCGAAGUCAAGCAUCAUUGGGCGCGGUCAGUACUUGGGUGGGGGACCACCUGGGAACACUGCGUGCCGUU